Molecule: ribosomal RNA, 451 nt
Filed under: Astrothelium subeustominspersum
Lineage: Eukaryota; Fungi; Ascomycota; Dothideomycetes; Trypetheliales; Trypetheliaceae
Description: partial large subunit ribosomal RNA
Rfam family: Eukaryotic large subunit ribosomal RNA
Source: RNAcentral
GAGUUGUAAUUUGCAGAGGAUGUUAUGGAAUCUGUAUGGACUCAAGUCCUUUGGAAAAAGGCGCCAUGGAGAGUGACAGUCUCGUACUUUCCAAUACAUUUUCCAUGUAUAACUCCUUCAAAGAGUCGAGUUGUUUGGGAAUGCAGCUCUAAGUGGGACGUAAAUUUGUUCCAAAGCUAAAUACCGGCUAGAGACCGAUAGCGCACAAGUAGAGUGAUCGAAAGAUGAAAAGCACUUUGAAAAGAGAGUUAAAAAGCACGUGAAAUUGUUGAAAGGGAAGCUUAUGUCAUCAGAAAUGGAGCCGUUGUUCAGCCUUUUGGUGUAUUCAAGGGUGUCCAGGCUAGCAUCAGUUUAGACAGCUGGAUAAAAGUGUUGGAAAUGUAGCUCUCUCGGGAGUAUUAUAGUCUGAUACACAAUGCAGUUCGUUAGACUGAGGACCGCUUAAGGAUGC